GGGUCUGUAGCUCAGGUGGUUAGAGCACCGUCUUGAUAAGGCGGGGGUCGUAGGUUCAAGUCCUACCAGACCCAC
Molecule: transfer RNA, 75 nt
Filed under: Cupriavidus necator H16
Lineage: Bacteria; Pseudomonadati; Pseudomonadota; Betaproteobacteria; Burkholderiales; Burkholderiaceae
Description: transfer RNA-Ile (GAT)
Rfam family: tRNA
About the family: Transfer RNA (tRNA) molecules are approximately 80 nucleotides in length.
Source: RNAcentral